Trichobilharzia regenti is the source of this 46-nucleotide non-coding RNA. The record is from Rfam. NCBI's taxonomy places the organism in Eukaryota, Metazoa, Platyhelminthes, Trematoda, Strigeidida, Schistosomatidae.
GUACUACUGAGCAGUCCCAAACUAGGACGAAACAGCUGUUCAGUAC